This 493-nucleotide ribosomal RNA is filed under the name uncultured bacterium. RNAcentral describes it as "bacterial SSU rRNA". It matches the Rfam family "Bacterial small subunit ribosomal RNA", at positions 32 to 534 of the family's 1533-position model. The record is from RNAcentral.
AAUCAACGCUGGCGGCGUGCCUCAGACAUGCAAGUCGAACGAUUAAAGCUCUCUUCGGAGAGUGUAUAGAGUGGCGCACGGGUGAGUAACACGUAAGUAAUCUACCCUCGAGUGGGGAAUAACAACCGGAAACGGUUGCUAAUACCGCAUAAUGCAGCGGCACCGCAAGGUGACAGUUGUUAAAGAUUUAUCGCUUGAGGAGGAGCUUGCGGCAGAUUAGCUAGUUGGUAGGGUAACGGCUUACCAAGGCUACAAUCUGUAACCGGUCUAAGAGGACGGUCGGUCACACUGACACUGAAUAACGGGUCAGACUCCUACGGGAGGCAGCAGUCGGGAAUUUUGGGCAAUGGGCGAAAGCCUGACCCAGCAACGCCGCGUGAAGGAUGAAAUCCUUCGGGAUGUAAACUUCGCAAAUAUAGGAAGAACUCAAUGACGGUACUAUAUGUAAGCCCCGGCUAACUCCGUGCCAGCAGCCGCGGUAAGGAUGAGACGU